GCCUUAUUAGCUCAGCAGGUAGAGCACACGGCUGUUAACCGUGGGGUCGCAGGUUCGAGUCCUGCAUAAGGCG
RNAcentral lists this transfer RNA (73 nucleotides) under Nanobdellota archaeon. RNAcentral describes it as "tRNA-Asn". It matches the Rfam family "tRNA". From Rfam's summary of the family: Transfer RNA (tRNA) molecules are approximately 80 nucleotides in length. The record is from RNAcentral. Lineage: Archaea; Nanobdellati; Nanobdellota. RNAcentral also lists the same sequence under 1 other name.